Molecule: ribosomal RNA, 460 nt
Filed under: uncultured bacterium
Lineage: Bacteria
Description: partial 16S ribosomal RNA
Rfam family: Bacterial small subunit ribosomal RNA
Source: RNAcentral
CCUACGGGUGGCUGCAGUGAGGAAUAUUGGUCAAUGGGCGUAAGCCUGAACCAGCCAAGUCGCGUGAGGGAUGAAGGUGCUAUGGAUCGUAAACCUCUUUUAUCAGGGAAUAAAGUGUGGGACGUGUCCCUUUUUGUAUGUACCUUAUGAAUAAGGAUCGGCUAACUCCGUGCCAGCAGCCGCGGUAAUACGGAGGAUCCGAGUGUUAUCCGGAUUUAUUGGGUUUAAAGGGUGCGUAGGCGGGCUGUUAAGUCAGCGGUGAAAGGCUGUGGCUCAACCAUAGAAUUGCCGUUGAAACUGGGGGGCUUGAGUAUGUUUGAGGCAGGCGGAAUGCGUGGUGUAGCGGUGAAAUGCUUAGAUAUCACGCAGAACCCCGAUUGCGAAGGCAGCCUGCCAAGCCAUGACUGACGCUGAUGCACGAAAGCGUGGGGAUCAAACAGGAUUAGAUACCCGGGUAGUC